CAUCAAAAUCGAACAUAAAAAAAUGAUUUAAGAUUUACGGUAUAUUUUUAAAAUGAGAAGGUAUAUUUUGGUAUAUUUUUGAGGGUCUGACGGUAUAUUUUAUCGAUAGUUUCGCGGUCACACUGCACACAUAAAAUUCAAAAUUGGUCCGAGCGGUUGUGGCGGCGCGAGAUAAAUUGAAAAACUUUAAAAGCAAGUGAAAACAAAAAUAACGCGAAUGUGUUUUCUGAAAAUCAACUCGGCAAGGAAAAAAUUAAAAAAAAAAGCCGUUGAUUUCGUUUGUAAUGUAUACAAAUAACGGUGAAUAAUAAAUAAAUGAUCAAAUCCCUAUCUUAUCUAGGUGGUACUAUAUAAAAACAAUCCUGUGUUAAGUACAAAAAAAAGGGGGAUCUUGUGGUUGGGCUGGUGCGUCGAUU
Molecule: long non-coding RNA, 416 nt
Filed under: Drosophila guanche
Lineage: Eukaryota; Metazoa; Arthropoda; Insecta; Diptera; Drosophilidae
Source: RNAcentral